GAUGAACGCUGGCGGCGUGCCUAAUACAUGCAAGUCGAGCGAACAGACGAGGAGCUUGCUCCUCUGACGUUAGCGGCGGACGGGUGAGUAACACGUGGAUAACCUACCUAUAAGACUGGGAUAACUUCGGGAAACCGGAGCUAAUACCGGAUAAUAUAUUGAACCGCAUGGUUCAAUAGUGAAAGACGGUUUUGCUGUCACUUAUAGAUGGAUCCGCGCCGCAUUAGCUAGUUGGUAAGGUAACAGCUUACCAAGGCAACGAUGCGUAGCCGACCUGAGAGGGUGAUCGGCCACACUGGAACUGAGACACGGUCCAGAGUCCUACGGGAGGCAGCAGUAGGGAAUCUUACGCAAUGGGCGAAAGCCUGACGGAGCAACGCCGCGUGAGUGAUGAAGGUCUUCGGAUCGUAAAACUCUGUUAUUAGGGAAGAACAAAUGUGUAAGUAACUAUGCACGUCUUGACGGUACCUAAUAAGAAAGCCACGGCUAACUACGUG
Molecule: ribosomal RNA, 497 nt
Filed under: uncultured bacterium
Lineage: Bacteria
Description: partial 16S ribosomal RNA
Rfam family: Bacterial small subunit ribosomal RNA
Source: RNAcentral